CAUUAUAAGAAUAAGUAUAAUACCCCAAUUAACAGAGUUUUGUGAGAAUUGGAUUAAUUUCAAACCAGGAAAGGCUUUUCCUAGUGAGUGGGUGUGCCCAGGAGUAUCUCUGAAAUGGGUACAUAUGUACCCUGCCUGGAGAUAUUCAGUGAUGAGUGUGGUCCCAGUAACACUCAAAGCGAUUGCAAUUACGCAACCUACAACGUACUGAAAAUACAUGAUAUUACUGCUCAAUUGUUUCGGACGAUUUCGCAGGCAUCCAUAAGGAAAGAAAGCGGAGACUGACAUGGAGCAUCCAAACUGGUCCUUCUAGUAAACUUCCACUGGGGAAGGAUAAUGAAAACUGGAUUGCUUCGUUCAAUUGGUAACAGUAAGCGACUCCUCCCACUGCCUGAUUCCAAAUUAUUUUUAUACAGAUCCAUAUUAAUAAUUUUGUUAGUGGUCUUUUUAUUU
Molecule: long non-coding RNA, 453 nt
Organism: Folsomia candida
Lineage: Eukaryota; Metazoa; Arthropoda; Collembola; Entomobryomorpha; Isotomidae
Exons: 3
Source: RefSeq, a predicted model, not a curated record